This is a long non-coding RNA of Cicer arietinum (chickpea), 1572 nucleotides long. RefSeq lists it as uncharacterized. The record is from RefSeq and is a predicted model, not a curated record. NCBI's taxonomy places the organism in Eukaryota, Viridiplantae, Streptophyta, Magnoliopsida, Fabales, Fabaceae.
CUUAAAUAUUGAGAUUCUAAAAAAGUUUUUUGUGGUUGUUUUUACAACAAAAUUGAGAAAAAAGUAUAUUGAAAUGAUUAAUGAAAGAAUAUAUUAACUUAGGCAAUAAUUUACAACAAAAGCAUAUUGUCAAAUUGAGAUAAAAGUAUAAACAGAGUGUUUUGGCUUACUGCCAAAUUAAAAAAAAGCUUAUGGAGAGUUUUUUGGCUUACUGCCAAACUUGCAGAUUUUUAUCAUAAGCUAGUUUGCUCUUUUCAAUCAUCUUUUGAUGAACUUUGUUUGAUGUUCCUGACUGAUGAACAAGUUCACUAUUUAAUUAUUGUAUAGAUGUUUGUUCUCUUCAGUUUGCUCUCAUAAUCCGACAAAGUCAACCAAAAUUGUUAAUGCAAGAGUUAACAAUUAUAUUUAAUUCAAUAUAUCUAUGGAGGUUUUUAUUGUAAAAAUGAUUGAUAUUUCUUAGUUGAGUUCAAGAUGAUUGUCCUUGGUAUGGUACUCUAUACCAUGCUCAAUUGAUGGGGAAAGAAUCAAAAGAAUAUUAGCAAGAAAAAUAUUGUCAAUAGGGUUAAAUAGAAGUUUAUGCAUCGAAUGAGGACGACAAAUUUCUCUAGAAUUCAGACAAAAAAAGCAUGCAAAGAAGGAAAAUAGGAAGGAAGUCACCCAAGUUUAAAUGCGAAAGAAAAGGAAAAAUUGAUGAAGAAACAGAGAAUGUCAUUGCUAAACUUCAAGAUUCAAUUCAAAACUCUAGUGAGCCUCCUGACCAAGCCUUUCAAUCAUUGUUCGGUAAAGAAAAAUCCUGUGGAGUUUGUUGUUAUGGAAGAACAACUACACCAACAAUGUUAAAAAAAAAUGAAGAGAUUGCUAACAUUAAGAAACAUUAUAAAGGUAAAAUUAGUAGCAUGACAUAAAGGAUGGAAGAAUAUGAGUCAUUUACAAAUAAAAGGAUGACCACUCAUUUACAAACUGUUGUCUUAAUGAAUAGACUACGACCACUUACACCAUACUUUGUAAAUCAUUGUCAAAUCGUUGCCUAACCUUUAGGUCACCGUUAAUUUGAUUUACGACACACUUUUUUUAUUGUUGUCACAACUCAAAAAUGUUGUAGUGUAAGAUGAUCAAAUCAUAAUUCAAGGUGGCAUGGUCACUCAUUUUGCAUGCACAAUGGAUUAAUUUUUUGAAGACAUUUAGAGGGAAUUUAACAUAUAUAAAUAGAAGUGGUUGCAACACUUCAAGAGGAAGAGCCCAAGAUACAAAACAUAAUUCACUUGUAUUUUUCAUACAAGUCAUCAAAAGCUCUUUUUAUCAAACACACUCCAACUCUCCUAAUUCAAAUUUAUUGAUCACAAUAUUUAAAGUGUGUCGAUAUUUUUAUUUGCUUCUCAAACUAGCCUUUGAUUUUUACAAGCAAAAUCACAAACAUUAUUUCAUUAUUUGUAAAUAUCCUUAAGUAUUUUCUUUGAGAAUGAUUGGGUGGUGUUGUGUAAAGUCUUUUAGACUAAGGUUGUAAGCAUGCUGGAGCUUUGAUAAUACAAUUUUUAAAGAUGAAUGAGUGAUAUAAGAAAAGAAAGGUGUUAA